AACGAGAGCGACCGGUGCUUGCACUGGUCAAUCUAGUGGCGAACGGGUGAGUAACACGUGGGUAACCUGCCCAUCAGAGGGGGAUAACAUUCGGAAACGGAUGCUAAAACCGCAUAGGUCUUCGAACCGCAUGGUUUGAAGAGGAAAAGAGGCGCAAGCUUCUGCUGAUGGAUGGACCCGCGGUGCAUUAGCUAGUUGGUGAGGUAACGGCUCACCAAGGCCGUGAUGCAUAGCCGACCUGAGAGGGUGAUCGGCCACAUUGGGACUGAGACACGGCCCAAACUCCUACGGGAGGCAGCAGUAGGGAAUCUUCCGCAAUGGACGCAAGUCUGACGGAGCAACGCCGCGUGAGUGAAGAAGGUUUUCGGAUCGUAAAACUCUGUUGUUAGAGAAGAACAAGUGCUAGAGUAACUGUUAGCGCCUUGACGGUAUCUAACCAGAAAGCCACGGCUAACUACGUGCCAGCAGCCGCGGUAAUACGUAGGUGGCAAGCGUUGUCCGGAUUUAUUGGGCGUAAAGCGAGCGCAGGCGGUUCCUUAAGUCUGAUGUGAAAGCCCCCGGCUCAACCGGGGAGGGUCAUUGGAAACUGGGGAACUUGAGUGCAGAAGAGGAGAGUGGAAUUCCAUGUGUAGCGGUGAAAUGCGUAGAUAUAUGGAGGAACACCAGUGGCGAAGGCGACUCUCUGGUCUGUAACUGACGCUGAGGCUCGAAAGCGUGGGUAGCAAACAGGAUUAGAUACCCUGGUAGUCCACGCCGUAAACGAUGAGUGCUAAGUGUUGGAGGGUUUCCGCCCUU
This 795-nucleotide ribosomal RNA is filed under the name uncultured Granulicatella sp. RNAcentral describes it as "bacterial SSU rRNA". It matches the Rfam family "Bacterial small subunit ribosomal RNA", at positions 65 to 840 of the family's 1533-position model. The record is from RNAcentral. Lineage: Bacteria; Bacillati; Bacillota; Bacilli; Lactobacillales; Carnobacteriaceae.